AUUGAACGCUGGCGGCAUGCCUUACACAUGCAAGUCGAACGGUAACAGGCCGCAAGGUGCUGACGAGUGGCGAACGGGUGAGUAAUACAUCGGAACGUGCCCGAGAGUGGGGGAUAACGGAGCGAAAGCUUUGCUAAUACCGCAUACGAUCUACGGAUGAAAGCAGGGGACCGCAAGGCCUCGCGCGAUUGGAGCGGCCGAUGUCAGAUUAGGUAGUUGGUGGGGUAAAGGCCCACCAAGCCAACGAUCUGUAGCUGGUCUGAGAGGACGACCAGCCACACUGGGACUGAGACACGGCCCAGACUCCUACGGGAGGCAGCAGUGGGGAAUUUUGGACAAUGGGCGAAAGCCUGAUCCAGCCAUGCCGCGUGCAGGAUGAAGGCCUC
RNAcentral lists this ribosomal RNA (386 nucleotides) under uncultured bacterium. RNAcentral describes it as "bacterial SSU rRNA". It matches the Rfam family "Bacterial small subunit ribosomal RNA", at positions 29 to 418 of the family's 1533-position model. The record is from RNAcentral.